RNAcentral lists this ribosomal RNA (520 nucleotides) under uncultured Glomus. Its description in RNAcentral is "SSU rRNA". It matches the Rfam family "Eukaryotic small subunit ribosomal RNA", at positions 569 to 1090 of the family's 1831-position model. The record is from RNAcentral. Lineage: Eukaryota; Fungi; Glomeromycota; Glomeromycetes; Glomerales; Glomeraceae.
AGCAGCCGCGGUAAUUCCAGCUCCAAUAGCGUAUAUUAAAGUUGUUGCAGUUAAAAAGCUCGUAGUUGAAUUUCGGGGUCAGUAGAUUGGUCGUGCCACUGGUAUGUACUGGUCUUACUGGCUCCUCCUUCCUGAUGAACCGUAAUGUCAUUAAUUUGGUGUUGCGGGGAAUCAGGACUGUUACUUUGAAAAAAUUAGAGUGUUUAAAGCAGGCAAGCGCUUGAAUACAUUAGCAUGGAAUAAUGAAAUAGGACGUUCGAUCCUAUUUUGUUGGUUUCUAGGAUUGACGUAAUGAUUAAUAGGGAUAGUUGGGGGCAUUAGUAUUCAAUUGUCAGAGGUGAAAUUCUUGGAUUUAUUGAAGACUAACUACUGCGAAAGCAUUUGCCAAGGAUGUUUUCAUUAAUCAAGAACGAAAGUUAGGGGAUCGAAGACGAUCAGAUACCGUCGUAGUCUUAACCAUAAACUAUGCCGACUAGGGAUCGGAUGAUGUUAACUUUUAAAUGACUCAUUCGGCACCUUA